AAAGUGCCUAAGUCAGCUACUUCGUUCGCAUUUUCCCGAUUUCUUCGGUCCUCAAACAAAUAUUGCUGCAGAUGUGAUAAUUUAUUGGUAAGAACGAAGUUUUUUCCCAUGGUAAAUUUUACAGACAUGCGCGACGCCAAAAUUGGAAUAUAGUGCGGAACCUGAAUACUAAAAAUGCUGCAGCUUACCUAUAACAAAGCUGUGUCAAUUAGAACCAUGUAACAUGGUCUAUUUUUCCAGGAUUGAAUCAAUAUACCCACAAUGUGGAUUGAAGGAACGCGUUCGAC
This is a long non-coding RNA of Armigeres subalbatus, 287 nucleotides long. RefSeq lists it as uncharacterized. The transcript is spliced from 3 exons. Lineage: Eukaryota; Metazoa; Arthropoda; Insecta; Diptera; Culicidae. The record is from RefSeq and is a predicted model, not a curated record.